This 301-nucleotide ribosomal RNA is filed under the name uncultured bacterium. RNAcentral's name for it is "partial 16S ribosomal RNA". It matches the Rfam family "Bacterial small subunit ribosomal RNA", at positions 509 to 807 of the family's 1533-position model. The record is from RNAcentral.
CAGCAGCCGCGGUAAUACGGAGGGGGCUAGCGUUGUUCGGAAUUACUGGGCGUAAAGCGCACGUAGGCGGCCAUUCAAGUUAGAUGUGAAAGCCCUGGGCUCAACCUAGGAAUUGCAUUUGAUACUGUUUGGCUUGAGUUCGGGAGAGGUGAGUGGAAUUCCCAGUGUAGAGGUGAAAUUCGUAGAUAUUGGGAAGAACACCAGUGGCGAAGGCGGCUCACUGGACCGACACUGACGCUGAGGCGCGAAAGCGUGGGGAGCAAACAGGAUUAGAUACCCCCGUAGUCCCUGUCUCUUAUAC